Molecule: long non-coding RNA, 8227 nt
Filed under: Sus scrofa (pig)
Lineage: Eukaryota; Metazoa; Chordata; Mammalia; Artiodactyla; Suidae
Description: lncRNA (ENSSSCG00045031698.1)
Source: RNAcentral
GCAUAUGGAGGUUUCCAGGCUAGGGGGCUAAUCAGAGCUGUAGCCACUGGCCUACAGCACAGCCAAAGCAACGCCAGAUCCGAGCCACGUCUGCAACCUACACCACAGCUCACAGCAACGCCGGAUCCUUGACCCGCUGAUCGAGGCCAGGGAUAGAACCCAAAACCUCACGGUUCCUAGUCAGAUUCAUUUCCGCUGUGCCACGAUGGGAACUCCCAUUUUUUUUAAAAUAUGUAUUUCUAGAUCAAUUUUAUUUAAUUUUAAUUAUUAUUUUUUGCUACACUCAUGGCAUGUGGCAGUUCCUGGGCCAGGGAUCCAAGAGCAGUGACAGUGCCAGAUCCUUAACCCACUGUGCCACAAGGGAACUCCUCAGUGGUAAUUUUUAAGUGUGCCAAGAUGGGAAGUGGAUUGGGAAGUGCAGCUCUAGGCUUGCUGACCUUUUCAUGGACCUUCUCUCUACAGGAUCCUGGGCCAGUUUGUCCCUUGUAAAAUGGGCAUAUUAACUCUGCCUCAGAGUUCCCAUUACAGUUCAAUGGGUUAAGAACCUGAUAUAGUCUCUUUGAGGAUGCAGGUUCAAACCCUAGCCUCACUCAGAGGGUUAAGGAUCCGGCAUUGCCGUGAGCCAUGGUAUAAGUCGCAGAUUCAGCUCAGAUCCGAGUUGCUGUGGCUCCACAGCCACGCCAGAUCCUUAACCCACUGAGCGAGGCUAGGGAUCCAGCCCGUGUCCUCAUGGAUCCUAGUCGGGUCUGUUACCACUGAGCUACGACGGGAACUCCAUUACAAAGUUUAACUCAAACUUUCCUAAAACCUAUGAUGUAGGUACAAUUAUUCCCAUUUGACAAAUGAGGAAACUGAGGCACGGAGAUGAUACAUAGCUUGCCAAGGUCACACAGCUCCUAAGCGGCAGAGCUGAGAUGCCACCCACUGUACCACCGAGUCCCUACAGUUAUGGUGGGCAGAACAGGGGGGAGCAGGGGAAGGAGUCCUGGUCCUAAACGCGGGCUCUCCCUUCGCCUGCUCUUUGCCAGCCUGCUUCCUUCUCAUCCUGACCUCCGUCUAAGGCCACUAGCAAGAGACUGUGGCCUGGAGGGGUUCCACCAGCCCAGGAGGCAGAGAUGCCCACUUGCUGUAAGCGCUGGCCUGAGGGUCCUGGAAGGCACAAUCGGCCGGCUGGUCACCCCUGCCUCUCAAAUUCUCUACUUGGCAUGUUCACGAAGCCUGGUUGAAGGAAGGCCUCCAGAAUCGCCGGUGCCCCGGACCCUCGGCAUGCCCACCCGCUCAUCUGCUAUGGAGCUGGGCUCUGGGCUCCUGGGUGAGGGUCGGGGAUGCCCGCUCCAGAGCUGGGGACAGGCCUCUGGGGACCAGUCUACAGAAGGAGCUGCAGAUCCCCAGCUCAAGCGCGACAGAAAGGUGGGCUAUUGAUUGAGUUACUGUUCUACCAAGUGCACAGUACAUGAAACCAAGUACUGGGAAUGCCACUGCGACAACCCACUGAGGCAGGCAUUGUCCUUCCCACUUGACACACGAGGGAAGCGAGCUCAGUGACGCCGAGGUUGCCCGUGCACAGUCCUCCAUCAAGUCAGUGCUGAUGGCACCACCAGCGAUGCCAUCUGUCACAUUCUCAUCUCUGCCCUCCUCUCCCUCUGUGCGCAGCCACUGAGGGCUGCUGGCCCCAGGGCCAUGCUGUUCCCUCCACCUGGAGGGCUCUCCCCCAACUUGGGCCUUCAGAGUUGGGUCUCUAGCAGUGUGAGUGGGUGGGGCCCAGGGCAAGACGACGUGGAGGAGGAGGCGGGUAACACCGGGCAAAGCCCCCUGGCUGGAGCUGGGCGUGGUCACAGCAGCCUGCAGGAGGCUGGGAGGUACGGAGCCCCUGCUGGGAGUCAAGGACGUCCUACCUGGCACCCGAGACCCCAGGCCUCUGUCUUCCCUACCCCUUCUUCCUGCAAGAACUUAGGGGUCAGAAUCAACCAGACCGUCAAAGCCAGAGCCAGCGCUAGUUCAUAUGGUCCCUUUGUGCUAAUUAGAAAAAGUCCCCUUCCUCUGGAGACCCCCGGGCUCACACCAGGGCACAUGGCUUGGGGAGCACAGUAUAGGCGGGGUUUCAGCUCCUUGAGCCAGAUCCCCUGCACGGCCCCACACAGUGACUCCGCUCGAAAGGCCCUCCCAAGCUCUCGCUUCUCUUCCCUGCCUUGCCAGGAGCCAGGCUCCAUUCCGGCCCUGCCCCUAAGCAUCCUUCUGGCCUUGAUCAGGUCCCCCAGACUGCGCUCCCAGGCCCGGGGCCCACUCCCCGAGACCUCUACAUCAGGGCCCGCUAGGGGCCACCGUCCAGCACCAGUGUUGCUGAGUGGGAAGCUGCCCGAAGGCCUAGGACCAUGAGCAUGAACUUUCCAGAAGGAAGCAUGUCCCCUUUCCAAAGAGAACUUCCUUGCAUAGCAGCCAGGCCUUGAUUUGUGCAGACCCCACCUCUGCUGACAGACCCCCCACUGGGCGCAGGCCCUGUCCCUGCAGCCCCGCUCUGGGCACUGCAGCUCAGGACACGGAGCCCUCCAGAGGCCAGGCCCUCAAGCUCCCCGCCCACGGCGUGCCGGACACCUUGUGCCAGACGCCCACCGCAGAGCACGGAGCCUUGUGGCCAGCUGAGCGGGAGGGUGGCGGCAGGGGCCACACCCUUGUGGGCCAAGACUUCAGUCCCACCUGCCAGCGCAGGACCGUUGCCAUGGAAGCAGAGCGCCCCGACAGGUGCGUGUGGCCCGUCCACCAGCUGCCUGGCCCCGACAUCAGAUAACGGGCCCCUGCCCCGGCCGAGGUGAGGACCGGAGUGCCUGCAUGCAGCCUUGGCAAACCACAGGCUGCUCUAGACCCAGCGCGGCCCCGAGGCACCCUCGGAGCUAGCGGAACCUUGCUGAGCUGAGUGGCCUGGCCCACAGCCUCCAGUGGUUUCUAUGCAUUCGUUUACUUUUGUUUUCCUUCCUCCUCUUUGAGGUAAACGCCCCUCAGGACAGGAUGUUUUUAGAGGAAAAUAUAAGCUUCCGGGAGCUGCUGCAGCCGAGCUGCUAGCUGAUACCACUGACACACUGGUAACUGCAGCGGCCCCCUGCCCAGCCCAAUGCCCAGCCACCCAGGAGUCUGCAGGCUGCGGUGGCACAGCCUCGGCUCAGGCUACCUUUGGCAGUAGGGAAGCAAGGCUCGGGGAAGAAAAGGCACUUGAGGACGAGGCUCUGUAGCAAGAAGGGCUGAGAGCAGCAGCGGCAGCCCCGCCAGGGACAGCCCCCUCCGUGCCUGGCACCCCGCAGAGCCCCACAUGCCCACCGGAACCCCACCAGCCCUCGCCACCACUGUGUGAUGUGUGUGCAAAGACGGUGCACAGAGGAAAGGGGAGCCGGGAGAGCGUGGACGACUUGCCUAAGGUCUCAGAGCCAGCAGUGACACAUCUGGAUUUGAGUCCCACGCUCUGGGGUUCCCGGCCUGUGGUCGCUGCCACUCAGUGACAGGACAGGCCUCACAGGCUGGCUGGUAGCACGGCAGCAUGGAGACCACACGUGUGAUGCCCAGGAGCCAAGGGACUGCCAGCUUCUCCCUGCCCCACACUGGGUCCCCUCAGUAAGACCUGUCCCACUCAGGACCUGGGAUCACCGAUUCUGCCAGCGAGACCCGGGCAAUAGUCUUUCUUGGAAAAGAGUGACCAGUGGCGUGGCCCUGGCCUCCACUGAGCCUGCGGGGAGGGUGUUUUCACUGCCCUCAUUCGAGGUGCUCGUGGUCCUCAGCUGAAAUUGACGAAAGGAACCAGGGCAGGUCACGUCUCCUGGGUCUGGCCUUGGCUUUUCCCCGCCACACGCGAGGCGGCGGGGACAGCCACUGGCAGCCGGGAUGGCUCUCACCGGGUUUGUUUUUGCUUAUUUUUGUUUUAUACCAGGGCUGGAUAGAAGGGUAAGCCUGCUGCCUAGGAGUGGAGCCGCCAGAGCUGGGCAGGGCCCAGCGAGGCAGAGGCUGACGGUCGGCCAUGGCUGGAGGCUGGGAGGCAGGGGGACAGGGGGGGGAUCUCCCCCAGCCUCGGCACUGCACCCCUGCCCUGAUUAAUUCCAGCCGGCUUCUGAAGGGCAAAGACAAGAUGAGGGUCUCUGAGUUACCUAGUCUGUCCCGCUGCCUGUACCAGCCCCAGGAGGACAGUUCUGCCCCAGGGCCUCGGGCAGGAAGCUCACUUGGGUCUAACCUCUGCAGCUACUGCCAGUGAAGGCCCUGGGGGCUCUGCCUAGACUCAGUCCAGCGGUUUUAUCCCCAGGGAACAAGGCAAGGUGUUGUUGGGGGCUUCAGACCCCAGAAUGGUCCCAGCCAAGGCCCUGGGGCCCAGUGUAAGCAGACAGAGGGGGGCCCUCCUAGGUGGGACCUCUCACGAGGGUGAGCUGGGGGUUCCCGAAGCCACACCCAACAGCCUUGACAGAUACACACCUGGGUCCACCAGGGUGAAAACACAGGGGAAAGGGUGAAAUACCACAUUCCUGGGGGGUGAGGAGCGGGGAGCGAUGGGACGGGGGAGCAAAGAGGACCCAGCUGUAGCUAGAAAACCCAGUUUGUCAAAAAUGAGGGGAUAGAUACGUUGCCUAAGUGGCGAGGCGGCAGGUGGCAGGGCUCCAGAGGGGCAGGUGCCCGAGUUUACACCUCCCCUCUGGCAUUGCACAAGUGCAACCAUCUCCCUGCUUAAGGGCUCCGUCUGUAUCACGUCCGGAUCUCAUGGGGGUUAAGCAAAGUAAUACUUGCGUCGGCUACUCUUUUAAACAUUAAUGAAGAAGAAAACAAAAGACAAAGGCCAGCAUGUCCCUAGACCAGAGCUUUUUAGGAAAGUCAGCCGCUGUGCCAGGCCGGGCCCACUGGCCCUCGAGUGCCUUUGGACAGGGCUGCUGGGCCAGACUCCUGAGCUUCUGAACGGCCUUCACUGACCAGAGCUGGGGUGGAAGCCCCCAGCGGGGUUGGCAGGCCGCUCUGGGUCCCCAGCAACUCUCCCAAAGGGUUUGGGGAGAGGACACCCAUGCCCAGCGACACCCUCAGAUUCCUCAGGCCCGCCAUUCCCCUUGGCCCAGAGCCUAGGACACUCUCGAGUCCAUCCCUGGACCACAUGGGGGAGGGCCCCCGGCCCCGAAGUCCAAAAGUGAGCUCCAAGCUCAGCCAGGACCAAGGCCAAAUUAGAAAAGAAGGAAUCCAACUAGCCAUGGUUCUUAACUGUCCCUGCAUCAAGCGUCAAGCCUGACGUAACCUCAAAUGUCAUUUAUCCAGUUUCCCAGGUAACAGUUAUUCGGGCAGUCCUGAGAUCCUGCUUUCAACCCCUUUAGCCCCGACCCUACCAGGCCUCCUGUGCAGCCCAGUCCCGUCCCACGCCCGGGAGGGGCAGGAAGGGCCAAGUCUUUCCUUGAGGCCAGAGGAAUCCAGCUCACCCACCCAAAAGGAGCAGCGCGAAUGUUCACCUCUGCAGCCUGCAAAGCCCCCAACUCAGGCCACACGAGCAAAGGGGCAGAGCACGGGCUUUAGAGUAAACCAGCCCUGAGUCCAUGUCCUGACUCUGCCAAGUACUAGCAGGUCCUUAACUUCUCUGAGCCUCAGCUUCCCCAUCUGUAAAUUGAGAGCAAUAAUUGUAUGUAUUUUCUUGGCCUCUUGUCAGGAAUCUUGAUACUGGAAUUAAAAGUCCCUGGCACAGGUAGGGCAUUUGGGAAGUUCGUGACACAUGCACUAUUGCUGCGGCUGUUGUUAAUCUUUCAGCGACACACAGUAGGUUUACGAGCACCUACUAUGUGUCAUGCCCUAUGCCAGCCAUUGAGAUUCCAGGCACGGAUGUGGCCCUGGCCCUGUAGAUCCUUUCCAGCCCUUUUGAUCCCAGCCACCACCCCUUAAACCCCCAGCUCAACCUGGCCAUCAACCCUUGUGGCCUCCGCCAUCCCAACUGCAUCUGUCCCCACACCCUCUGGACUAUGGUCAGUCACCCCCCCUCCCAGCCCCACCCACGGGGGGUUGCCCACCACAGCUGGGAGGCUCCCAGGCUGGGUACUGCUUCAAAGCCUGCCGGCAGGCUCCGAGCAGCUGCUGUAACCAGGCAUAUGCUCGGGCCGCCCGCCUGGCCCCGGCUGUGCCCAGCAGAGACCUCACCACAGCUGCUGCAAGCUCUCCACAGGCUGCUUCUCGGCGUCCUCGAGGGCCGACCCACCCUCUGCCUGGCCGGCCACCGGGCCAGCCACAGAACCAUCUGAUUUGAAUGAAACUUCAAACUUAAUGACUUUCAUGCUGGUUAUUUAAAACGCAAUGUAAUUUUCUUAAACACCCUAUUAUUUCCUUUGAUAGCUACAAAGCUUCCCCCAAUCCCAUAAGCAUGUUUAUUUUUAGGGAAAAGAGUGGUUUGCAGUCGGUCACAGAGACCGUAGGGAGAGGGAGCCCGCAGAAAGCAGGGCCAAGAGUCAAGCUGAGCAGCCCGGAGACCCACGGCUGCCCUGCCUGUGUGUCGGCGGAGCCCUGCCCUUCUCACACCGGCACAUCCACCAGUGGCCCUCCUGUCCCCUCUCCGCCAGUGGCCAAGCCCUCUCGUCUGGGCUGCAGUGUCCUCAUCUGUAAGAUGGUGCCAGUGGCUUCCCACAGACACGCCAGGCACACGUGGGGCUGCGGAAGGGGUCCUGGGGCUGGUGACAUACCCCCAGCGACCGCCUCCUGGCUUCUCCAGACAUUCUGCCCCGGGUGAGGCCUUGGGGCCUGAAGCUUUGACCAGAUCCUUGAGAUCUGUGCCCAGAUAAAGGGGCCCCGGGCGGUGGCUGCCCACACCGCGAGGGUGGGGAGGAGUGGCCCUGCCAGUUGGGGCUCCCUGGCAAGGGAGGCAGCCUGGUCGUGGGUGUGCGUGCAGAGGUCAGCCGAGCCCCACCAAUGCGGGGCGUCCUCUGAGAGUGGCUAUUUUUAGAUCCCAGGCUUUCAUGUGGCCGAAUGAUGUGGAGUUUACAAAGCAUUGGUAAUGCGUUUCAGAUGGCGGCCCAGCAGACCCGGAGACUGGGCCUGCUGCCACCAGAGCCAGGUCAGAGUUAGUCAGACACCCUCUGCUGGACUCCCAUCACCUGUCCUUCCCUGUCGCCUGAUGGGGAGGCUGGGCCUGGAGCAGCCCUUGCAACGCCCAACAGAGCCCCGCCCGCGGCCCACAUGGGACCAGGCCUCUCCAGCUGCCACUCAUCUGCACCUCAGAAAUCCUCCUGGCCAGGGACCUGCACCCCCGUUUACAGAAGCAAACAGACCUGGAGGGGUAACAGCUUUGCGCGAGGUCACAGAGCCAGGGGAGGAGGUGGCCCUGGUCCCUGGCUGCCUUACCCAUCACAGCCCCCUCCGCUCAUGGGCACACUGGGCUUUCUGGGAGGGGGGUGAUCUGCCAUCCCUGGUGAGGCCAUGGUGGGCUGGCGCAGCUCUAACCAUGCAACCCCCAGAGCCCACGGACCCCUGGGGCCACGUCCUGCCCGUCCAGCCACACAGUCACCCCUUGAAAGCAGAGAGUCUCCCGUCCUUGGAGAGAGACAGAGGUGGUUGUUUGAAAGGCAGAGGCAAAGGCGUUGAUGAAGCAUCUGCUUCCUCUGAUCUCCAAGGAGCUUUGGCCGAGGGGUUGGCUGGGGCGUGAAGGCUGUGUGUCACCAUCUCCCUCUGGGCUCUGAAGCCGCAUCUGCUGGCACAGCAGGCAGGCAGCCUCCCCUUAAGACUUAAGAGAGGGCCACGCUCAGGCCUGCCUUGGGCCAGGCCCCCCAUCCAACAAGGGACAGUCCCUCUACCCACCAGGGGACUGAGCCAAGGGGAGCCCCGGGCAGGACCAGGACGGGCCAAACCCUCUGACCAGGACAAACCUUCCCUGGCUACAGCACGCAGAUGACACGUGCCAAGGCUGAUGUGGGCCAUGCCUUUUUAAGGGUGGCACCCGCGUCCAAACCCCAAAGAUCACAGGUUGGCGAGCUGAGGCAGAAACCGCCUGAAGGGAGAAGCUAACAGGGUCCUGGGUUCUCAGAGACCCUCCGCAGACUCCUGGGGCCUGGGGUCCUGCGAGAGACAGGGCUCUUGACAGCGGUUGUCCACACCGUGGCUCAGUGCCCCUCCGUCAACAGGGGCCAGACGGCUUGACUCAUGACCCUGGACAAAGACGGAGCGAAUGAAGCCACCUGCACCCGCGGCCCUCCCACCUUGCCUGCUCCGGCUCACUGGGGUCUCCCGGGCCCAGAGCCCACUGUCC